AAAUCGCUACAAGGGGCAGUCUACUUCGACCAGAUGAGGCUAAAACCCUAAACCCUUGCAACCUCCUCCCAAACAUUUUCACUUCGUCGCCUUCUUCUUCUUCUUCGAUCCUUCAAUGGCUUCGGCUUGCAAUAGAUUCGCCGGCAGAGCAUCCCUAUCAUCCGUCAAAUCCGCCAUUAGAUCUAGCCUCCGCACAUCUCCUCUCACCAAAUCCACCGCGCCCACCUCUCCGCGCGUCCAUCUCCCCUCUAGAUCCACUUCCAUUCCUCUUUCCCGGUUCUCACUCUUCAGGUGUCCCUCGGAAUUGGGAAGCGUGCAGUCAUUAUUGCCGUUGCACAGCGCGGUGGCAGUCGCGAGAAUGACGUCGUGCCUGAGCACAACAUCGAGGAGUUGCCGAGCGGUCUUGCAGGGUACACUCUGCUGCACCUCCCCAGGCCUCUAAUCUCAUGCACCUAAGAUGAGUUGGUUGAAAGAAAUAAAAUGGGAAUUUGCUGGACCUGGCACUUAUCAAAUGGAGUUGAUGGCACGUGAGACAUUUGUGCUGCAUUUGGAGAGUUUGGGCUGUCCGUUCCAAGGUGACCUUAUUGCAGCCCAACAUGAAGAGGAGUUAUCUUUACAAUAAUGGAAAAUCUCUUGCAUCAACAUUUUUUUGUAGUUUCAGUCAAUUUAAAGGAGCUGCUUGAACAUUGCAAGCAAGGAAACUGGUUUUGGUUCUUCCCUUGACUGAGAUAUAUGUUUGAGUAACCAUUCAUUUAUGUUUAAUCGUCAGGCCUGUAUUCUGAGAUC
RNA transcript from Juglans microcarpa x Juglans regia, 786 nucleotides. It is a transcript of the gene named protein NONRESPONDING TO OXYLIPINS 2, mitochondrial-like, with no coding region annotated. The transcript has 5 exons. The record is from RefSeq and is a predicted model, not a curated record. NCBI's taxonomy places the organism in Eukaryota, Viridiplantae, Streptophyta, Magnoliopsida, Fagales, Juglandaceae.